This is a small nucleolar RNA of Rhincodon typus (whale shark), 119 nucleotides long. RefSeq annotates it as small nucleolar RNA SNORA26. Lineage: Eukaryota; Metazoa; Chordata; Chondrichthyes; Orectolobiformes; Rhincodontidae. The record is from RefSeq and is a predicted model, not a curated record. The transcript has a single exon.
UUGCCCACUCAUGUAAACCUAGUUCAUUGAGUGGCCGUGACUGAGGGGUAGAAAAAUUCUCUUUCAAACCCAGGGCAGUAGCUCCUCCUGUGCUUUGGAUCCUGUCGAGAGGGACCAGG